Molecule: ribosomal RNA, 326 nt
Filed under: uncultured eukaryote
Lineage: Eukaryota
Description: partial 18S ribosomal RNA
Rfam family: Eukaryotic small subunit ribosomal RNA
Source: RNAcentral
CCCUUAGAUGUUCUGGGCCGCACGCGCGCUACACUGAUGCAUUCAACGAGCCUAUCCUUGACCGACAGGUCCGGGUAAUCUUUGAAUCUGCAUCGUGACGGGGAUAGAUUAUUGCAAUUAUUAAUCUUCAACGAGGAAUGCCUAGUAAACGCAAGUCAUCAGCUUGCAUUGAUUACGUCCCUGCCCUUUGUACACACCGCCCGUCGCUCCUACCGAUUGAAUGAUCCGAUGAAUAUCAUGGAUUGAGGAUGCAAGCAGGUUCGCCUGUCUUCAUCUUCGAGAAGUGAAGUAAAUCUUAUCAUUUAGAGGAAGGAGAAGUCGUAACA